The submitters of this non-coding RNA (77 nucleotides) gave its source as unclassified sequences. The record is from Rfam.
UUGCGGGUGGUGUUUGCGUUUUAUUGCGUGAAGCCUUGGGUCCGGUGUGCGCAAUCCCGGAACCUCGCCGUCUGCAA